RNAcentral lists this ribosomal RNA (791 nucleotides) under uncultured archaeon. RNAcentral describes it as "bacterial SSU rRNA". It matches the Rfam family "Archaeal small subunit ribosomal RNA", at positions 69 to 861 of the family's 1478-position model. The record is from RNAcentral.
UUAGCGCCAUCCGCUGACGGCUCAGUAACACGUGGAUAAUCUAACCUAAGGUGGAGGAUAACCUCGGGAAACUGAGAAUAAUACUCCAUAAGUCUAGGAUACUGGAAUGUACUUAGGCUGAAAACUUCGGUGCCUUAGGAUGAGUCUGCGGACUAUCAGGUUGUAGUCAGGGUAAAGACCUGACUAGCCUACGACGGAUACGGGUUUUGAGAGAAAUAACCCGGAGAUGAUAUCUGAGACACGAUAUCAGGCCCUACGGGGCGCAGCAGGCGCGAAAACUUCACACUGCGCGAAAGCGCGAUGAGGGAAUCCCAAGUGCUUGCACUUUUUGUGUAAGCUGUUUUUAUGUCUAGAAAGCAUAGAGAGUAAGAGCUGGGUAAGACGGGUGCCAGCCGCCGCGGUAAUACCUGCAGCUCGAGUGGUGAUCGUUAUUAUUGGGCCUAAAACGUCCGUAGCCGGUUUAUUAAAUGCCUGGGUAAAUCGGGCAGCUUAACGGUUCGAAUUCCGGGUAGACUGAUAGACUUGGGACUGGGAGAGGCUAGAGGUACUCCUGGGGUAGAGGUGAAAUUCUGUAAUCCUAGGGGGACGACCAGUGGCGAAGACGUCUAGCUAGAACAGGUCUGACGGUGAGGGACGAAGCCCUGGGGCGCAAACGGGAUUAGAUACCCCGGUAGUCCAGGGUGUAAACGCUGCUUGCUUGAUGUUAGUCGGGCUUCGAGCCCGAUUAGUGUCGGAAAGAAGUUGUUAAGCAAGCUGCCUGGGAAGUACGGUCGCAAGACUGAAACUUAAAG